This 244-nucleotide long non-coding RNA is filed under the name Mytilus galloprovincialis (Mediterranean mussel). Lineage: Eukaryota; Metazoa; Mollusca; Bivalvia; Mytilida; Mytilidae. The record is from RNAcentral.
UUAAAGCUUUCUAUGCGGUAUGGGUUUUUUUUCUUAAAAAGUCCGACCAUGACCUUCUAACCUCUACAUCAUGUGAUCUCUGGUUAAAAGAUGUCACUGGCAAUCAUACAUAAAUAUCCUUUUUCUGUGUAUCAAUAUAUGUCGUAAACUGGAAAAAGGUAUAAAUGAAAGGGUUGAUAACAGCUACAAAAUAAAGAAAUAUGGUAAUUACAUGAUAUUAGGUAUAUCAUUUAUAUGUUUGCCG